UGUUGGUUCUCCCGCAACGCUACUCUGUUUACCAGGUCAGGUCCGGAAGGAAGCAGCCAAGGCAGAUGACGCGUGUGCCGGGAUGUAGCUGGCAGAG
This 97-nucleotide signal recognition particle RNA is filed under the name Escherichia coli. Its description in RNAcentral is "signal recognition particle sRNA small type". It matches the Rfam family "Bacterial small signal recognition particle RNA". Rfam says of the family: The signal recognition particle (SRP) is a universally conserved ribonucleoprotein involved in the co-translational targeting of proteins to membranes. Archaeal SRP consists of a 7S RNA and homologues of the eukaryotic SRP19 and SRP54 proteins. In most bacteria, the SRP consists of a 4.5S RNA and the Ffh protein (a homologue of the eukaryotic SRP54 protein). RNAcentral also lists the same sequence under 5 other names. The record is from RNAcentral. Lineage: Bacteria; Pseudomonadati; Pseudomonadota; Gammaproteobacteria; Enterobacterales; Enterobacteriaceae.